This is a long non-coding RNA of Malurus melanocephalus (red-backed fairy wren), 373 nucleotides long. RefSeq lists it as uncharacterized. The transcript has 3 exons. NCBI's taxonomy places the organism in Eukaryota, Metazoa, Chordata, Aves, Passeriformes, Maluridae. The record is from RefSeq and is a predicted model, not a curated record.
CUGGACGAGCUCUCAUCUCCCUUUGGGAUCAGCCCCUCUGGAAAAGCCUCUCCCAGCUCCCAGAAAAGCCGGAAAACCAAGGAAUUGUCCCAAAAUUCCCAGGAUCAGCUGAUCAUUGAUGCUGGCCAGAAGCAGUGGGGUGCCCAGCAGUGCCCAUCCUGUGGGAUGCUCUACGCCCCCGACAGCCCCGAGGAUCGGCUGCAGCACCUCCGGUACCACCAACGGCUCCAGGAGGGGCUGCGCUACCUGGGCUGGAAGAAGGAGCGAGUGGUGGCGGAAUUCUGGGAUGGGAAAAUCGUCCUGAUCCUUCCUGAAGAUCCCAAAUACGCCGUCAGGAAGGUACUGGGAAUUCCUGCUGGGAUUGGCCUUGGAA